GACAGAGGUGCCGAGCGUUAGGCGGAAUCACUGGGCUUAAAGCGUGUGUAGGCGGAUCGUUAAGUACCUUGUGAAAUCCCACGGCUCAACCGUGGAACUGCUGGGUAUACUGGCGGUCUUGAGCCACCUAGGGGCAACUGGAACAAGCGGUGGAGCGGUGAAAUGCGUAGAUAUCGCUUGGAACGCCAACGGUGAAAACAGGUUGCUGGGGGUGUGCUGACGCUGAGACACGAAAGCCAGGGGAGCGAACGGG
Molecule: ribosomal RNA, 253 nt
Filed under: uncultured bacterium
Lineage: Bacteria
Description: partial 16S ribosomal RNA
Rfam family: Bacterial small subunit ribosomal RNA
Source: RNAcentral